CGGUUAGACUCGAUGUCCGAGUAAAGGUUAAUAAGUGUAAGGUUAAGUAAAUUAGGUCGGACGGGUGCUGUACAUUCAAUGUAAUAAUAAGUGAAAUUUGUCUAUUAGUUUUAAAUUGAAUGUAAGCUCUAGCGGACUUGAACUGAGGCCUAGAAGAUUUAGGUAAGGACCAGGAUUAGAUACCCUGUUACUCUAAUAGGAGCAACUAAAAAAACUUGAGUAUUAGUAAUAAAUUAAUUUUAAAUUCAAAGAACCUGGCGGUACUUUAGUCUAGUUGGAGGAACCUGUUUUAUAAACGAUAAACCACGUAAAAUCUUUCUUGUUCUUGUACAGUUAGUAUACCUUCAUUAGAGAUAAUCUUGGUUGAUUGAUUAUUGCAAUUGGUGAGAGACAUCAAGUAAAUUAGAUCAAGGUGCUGCAGAUGGACAAGUAAAAAUGGGUUACAAUAAUUUCUAGUAUUGGGCGGAUUAUACUUAGAAUGGGUAUAUGAAGAUGGAUUCAAUUGUAAUUUUAACUUUAAUAAGGUAAAAUGGUAUUAGCUCUAAAGUGUGUACAUAUUGCCCGUCGCUUUCAUUAAGUUAGAUGAGAUAA
RNAcentral lists this ribosomal RNA (591 nucleotides) under Panulirus polyphagus. RNAcentral describes it as "partial 12S ribosomal RNA". Lineage: Eukaryota; Metazoa; Arthropoda; Malacostraca; Decapoda; Palinuridae. The record is from RNAcentral.